RNAcentral lists this ribosomal RNA (934 nucleotides) under Escherichia coli. RNAcentral's name for it is "partial 23S ribosomal RNA". It matches the Rfam family "Bacterial large subunit ribosomal RNA", at positions 612 to 1550 of the family's 2925-position model. Lineage: Bacteria; Pseudomonadati; Pseudomonadota; Gammaproteobacteria; Enterobacterales; Enterobacteriaceae. The record is from RNAcentral.
AUAAUGGGUCAGCGACUUAUAUUCUGUAGCAAGGUUAACCGAAUAGGGGAGCCGAAGGGAAACCGAGUCUUAACUGGGCGUUAAGUUGCAGGGUAUAGACCCGAAACCCGGUGAUCUAGCCAUGGGCAGGUUGAAGGUUGGGUAACACUAACUGGAGGACCGAACCGACUAAUGUUGAAAAAUUAGCGGAUGACUUGUGGCUGGGGGUGAAAGGCCAAUCAAACCGGGAGAUAGCUGGUUCUCCCCGAAAGCUAUUUAGGUAGCGCCUCGUGAAUUCAUCUCCGGGGGUAGAGCACUGUUUCGGCAAGGGGGUCAUCCCGACUUACCAACCCGAUGCAAACUGCGAAUACCGGAGAAUGUUAUCACGGGAGACACACGGCGGGUGCUAACGUCCGUCGUGAAGAGGGAAACAACCCAGACCGCCAGCUAAGGUCCCAAAGUCAUGGUUAAGUGGGAAACGAUGUGGGAAGGCCCAGACAGCCAGGAUGUUGGCUUAGAAGCAGCCAUCAUUUAAAGAAAGCGUAAUAGCUCACUGGUCGAGUCGGCCUGCGCGGAAGAUGUAACGGGGCUAAACCAUGCACCGAAGCUGCGGCAGCGACACUAUGUGUUGUUGGGUAGGGGAGCGUUCUGUAAGCCUGUGAAGGUGUACUGUGAGGUAUGCUGGAGGUAUCAGAAGUGCGAAUGCUGACAUAAGUAACGAUAAAGCGGGUGAAAAGCCCGCUCGCCGGAAGACCAAGGGUUCCUGUCCAACGUUAAUCGGGGCAGGGUGAGUCGACCCCUAAGGCGAGGCCGAAAGGCGUAGUCGAUGGGAAACAGGUUAAUAUUCCUGUACUUGGUGUUACUGCGAAGGGGGGACGGAGAAGGCUAUGUUGGCCGGGCGACGGUUGUCCCGGUUUAAGCGUGUAGGCUGGUUUUCCAGGCAAAUCCGGAAAAU